Molecule: ribosomal RNA, 138 nt
Filed under: uncultured bacterium
Lineage: Bacteria
Description: partial 16S ribosomal RNA
Rfam family: Bacterial small subunit ribosomal RNA
Source: RNAcentral
UAAGGGAUAUUGGUCAAUGGGCGCAAGCCUGAACCAGCAACGCCGCGUGCAGGAUGACGGCCUUCGGGUUGUAAACUGCUUUGGAAGGGGACGAGCAAGGACGGUACCCUUCGAACAAGUCACGGCUAACUACGUGCC